RNAcentral lists this long non-coding RNA (552 nucleotides) under Brassica napus (rape). Its description in RNAcentral is "long non-coding RNA (BNAP_LNC004910)". The record is from RNAcentral. Lineage: Eukaryota; Viridiplantae; Streptophyta; Magnoliopsida; Brassicales; Brassicaceae.
GAGUUUAAAGUUUAGCAUUUGGAAGGUGGGAGUUGACGUUGAGUCAGCAUUAACUUCUUUCAUGCAAUUAUAGAUAUUUCAUAAUUUCACUAAUAUGUACUAUGCUACUUGUUUUGUUCAAUUAUAUUUGGGUUUAUGUUUUAUAUUUGGAUUUAGGGUUUCUGUUUGGAUUUAGGGUUUAUUGAUUACGGUUUAGGGUUUUGUGAUUAGGGUGUAGUAUUUAAGGGUUGAGGGUGGGGGUUAGGAUAUGGUUUAUUAUUUAGAUGUUGGGAAUGUGCUGGCGUCCUAUUCUAUUUUUGUAAUAUGGAAUAGAACAUUUCGUAAUGGGUGGGAUUAGUAUCCUAUACUACUUCUCCGAUAUGAAAUACUAUCUUUAUUAAAAGUCUGUUUUGAUUCACUCAUUUUACAUUAUUUAAUUAUUUUUUGCAUUCACUGUUUUUACUAGAUGAUUGUUAUGGAAAUAGACUUACAUUGUGUAAUAAAUGAAAUACUCCAUUUAUUAAAACAAUGUUAUAUUUUCAUCUACUUGUUUUACAACACAUACAUAUGUGG